AUUGUGACAUGUUAAACAAAAACGCCGCGGUGUACGCUGCCGGGCGUUUUGAUGGGG
Molecule: small RNA, 57 nt
Filed under: Salmonella enterica subsp. enterica serovar Typhi str. E00-7866
Lineage: Bacteria; Pseudomonadati; Pseudomonadota; Gammaproteobacteria; Enterobacterales; Enterobacteriaceae
Description: Salmonella enterica sRNA STnc310
Rfam family: Salmonella enterica sRNA STnc310
Source: Rfam by way of RNAcentral